This 185-nucleotide unclassified non-coding RNA is filed under the name uncultured fungus. RNAcentral's name for it is "sequence contains ITS1, 5.8S rRNA gene". The record is from RNAcentral. Lineage: Eukaryota; Fungi.
AUGAAUUUAUCAUUUGAUAUAAACCAAUCUUGUGCACUGUAAAUGAUAUAUGCGAGGCGUCAAUUUCGGUUGUCGUCUCGGAUCAUCACUUUUUUACGUCUGAUAUCAAUACUGUCUGAUCCAUAUUAAUGUCAUGUAUUAUCCUAGUGAUCAUCCGUGGCUGAAUAUAAAAUUUAAAUAAAAUA